UCAUCCCAAUCUCUCUUUCUCCCUAAAAUAUCUGCAAGAACCCACCCUCCCGCUUAGGGAUAUUCCUAGAAAACCCUGGCUCACUCGAAAGCUAGGCUAAAGCUGAAUCUGAUGGUUUCAAGGCUAAAGUUGCUUCAGUUCGUGAUAGACAACUAGCCUAACAUCAUAUAUUUGAUCUUCGAUGCUUCUGGUUAAAAUUAGGGUUAUUAGUUUGUGGAUGUUGAAGUUACUAUUUGUGGUUUGAAGAGACCGGAAAACAGGAGCUAAAGCUCGAUUUGUGGUCGGAUCUCACAUAACCACCCCUAAUCUCAUCAUCGGUGUUACUCAAGUCUUCCGCUACAAGACGCGUCUUCUAAUUGCACACUUUCCGAUCCACGACAACAUAACUAACAAUACCUAAGCGAUUGAGAUUCAUAACGUUCUUGACAAAUAAGGAUAAAGCCUCUACUGAUUUUGAGACUGCAAUAGCCCAAAAUGAUGAUGACAGGAUGAAUUGAAGAGAAUAGCACAACACCGAUCAAACCCGGUAUUGGCCUUACAGUUGUGGCCAAAAUGCUAAAUCAUGAUGUGGGCUUGAGGGCGAUGAAGAGUGGCUGGUAGAAGUCAGUUUUUUGAGUGAUCUUUUGAACCCAAAUUUGGUCAAGUUGAUUGGUUAUUGCAUUGAAGAUGAUCAACGGUUGUUAGUCUACGAGUUCUUGCUUAGAGAGAGCUUGGAGAAUCACUUGUUAAGAAGUAU
This is a long non-coding RNA of Helianthus annuus (common sunflower), 736 nucleotides long. RefSeq lists it as uncharacterized. The record is from RefSeq and is a predicted model, not a curated record. NCBI's taxonomy places the organism in Eukaryota, Viridiplantae, Streptophyta, Magnoliopsida, Asterales, Asteraceae. The transcript has 4 exons.